RNAcentral lists this ribosomal RNA (292 nucleotides) under uncultured bacterium. Its description in RNAcentral is "partial 16S ribosomal RNA". It matches the Rfam family "Bacterial small subunit ribosomal RNA", at positions 505 to 796 of the family's 1533-position model. The record is from RNAcentral.
GUGUCAGCAGCCGCGGUAAUACAGAGGUCCCAAGCGUUGUUCGGAUUCACUGGGCGUAAAGGGUGCGUAGGCGGUCGGGUAAGUCUGAUGUGAAAUCUCGGGGCUUAACCCCGAAACUGCAUUGGAUACUAUUCGGCUUGAGGAAUGGAGGGGAGACUGGAAUGCUCGGUGUAGCAGUGAAAUGCGUAGAUAUCGAGCGGAACACCAGUGGCGAAGGCGAGUCUCUGGACAUUUCCUGACGCUGAGGCACGAAAGCCAGGGGAGCAAACGGGAUUAGAAACCCCGGUAGUCC